Molecule: ribosomal RNA, 167 nt
Filed under: uncultured bacterium
Lineage: Bacteria
Description: partial 16S ribosomal RNA
Rfam family: Bacterial small subunit ribosomal RNA
Source: RNAcentral
UAGGGAAGUCUUCCACAAUGGGCGGAAAGACCUGAUGGAGCAACGCCGCGUGUGUGAUGAAGGGUUUCGGCUCGUAAAACACUGUUGUAAGAGAAGGAUGACAUUGAGAGUAACUGUUCAAUGUGUGACGGUAUCUUACCAGAAAGGAACGGCUAAAUACGUGCCAG